RNAcentral lists this ribosomal RNA (253 nucleotides) under Segatella copri DSM 18205. RNAcentral describes it as "Prevotella copri DSM 18205 partial 16S ribosomal RNA". It matches the Rfam family "Bacterial small subunit ribosomal RNA", at positions 524 to 776 of the family's 1533-position model. The record is from RNAcentral. Lineage: Bacteria; Pseudomonadati; Bacteroidota; Bacteroidia; Bacteroidales; Prevotellaceae.
UACGGAAGGUCCGGGCGUUAUCCGGAUUUAUUGGGUUUAAAGGGAGCGUAGGCCGGAGAUUAAGCGUGUUGUGAAAUGUAGAUGCUCAACAUCUGAACUGCAGCGCGAACUGUUUUCCUUGAGUACGCACAAAGUGGGCGGAAUUCGUGGUGUAGCGGUGAAAUGCUUAGAUAUCACGAAGAACUCCGAUUGCGAAGGCAGCUCACUGGAGCGCAACUGACGCUGAAGCUCGAAAGUGCGGGUAUCGAACAGG